Molecule: ribosomal RNA, 493 nt
Filed under: uncultured bacterium
Lineage: Bacteria
Description: partial 16S ribosomal RNA
Rfam family: Bacterial small subunit ribosomal RNA
Source: RNAcentral
AUUGAACGCUGGUGGCAUGCUUUACACAUGCAAGUCGAACGGUAACAGGUUAAGCUGACGAGUGGCGAACGGGUGAGUAAUGCAUCGGAACGUGCCCGAUCGUGGGGGAUAACGCAGCGAAAGCUGCGCUAAUACCGCAUACGAUCUGAGGAUGAAAGCGGGGGGCCGUAAGGCCUCGCGCGAUCGGAGCGGCCGAUGUCAGAUUAGGUUGUUGGUGGGGUAAGGGCCCACCAAGCCGACGAUCUGUAGCUGGUCUGAGAGGACGACCAGCCACACUGGGACUGAGACACGGCCCAGACUCCUACGGGAGGAAGCAGUGGGGAAUUUUGGACAAUGGGCGAAAGCCCGAUCCAGCAAUGCCGCGUGCAGGAAGAAGGCCUUCGGGUUGUAAACUGCUUUUGUACGGAGCGAAAAGGUCCUUUCUAAUACAAGGGGCUCAUGACGGUACCGUAAGAAUAAGCACCGGCUAACUACGUGCCAGCCGCCGCCGUAA